GGGGAUUGAACCCAUGGGCACUUAACCACUGAGCCACAUCCCAUUCAUUUUUAUAUUUUAUUUAGAGACAGGGUCUCACUGAGUUGCUUAGGGCCUCACUAAUUUGCUGAGGCUGGCUUUGAACUUGCAAUCCUCCUGCCUCAGCCUCUUGAGCCACUGGGAUUACAGGCAUCAGCCACCACGCCUAGCUGAAAUGUGUUAUUUUUGACAUGUCAAAAGUCCCUCCUUGUAAUCCAGUUACCCUUUCUUGCCAUUUAUUCAGAUGGGUGCAAGAGUUAGAAUCAUAGGGAGUCUAUAAAGGAGGGGCAAGUUUUGUCAGGGAAUGCUUGUGGCUUUAAGGAAGACAGUCGUGUGACAAACAGCAAUGAGGCCAUUGCAUUCAGCAAUGAAUGUGAAUGGCGUGGGACCCAGGCAUGGAACACUGGGAUCACCAACCAGAGACUCAAAAGGAGACACAUGACCAAUGACACGAGAAUAACUUAAUCCAGCUUGCAUACUACAUAAAUGAUUUGUGGUUCAAACUGAGAAGACACCAAGUUGCCCUCUUGAAGGUUGUGAUGAGGAACCCAAGACAAAGUGUGACCAAACAUCUUUGCACAAUUUGGCUACUGUCUAUGAACCCACAUCCAUCAGUUUGGGGUGCUGACUUGGAUUAAGGAUUUAUUAGGCCUUUGUCUCCAUAUAUGUGCUU
Molecule: long non-coding RNA, 691 nt
Filed under: Marmota monax (woodchuck)
Lineage: Eukaryota; Metazoa; Chordata; Mammalia; Rodentia; Sciuridae
Source: RNAcentral